GGUCCGUUGGUCAAGGGGUUAAGACACCGCCUUUUCACGGCGGUAACACGGGUUCGAAAUCCCGUACGGACUA
RNAcentral lists this transfer RNA (73 nucleotides) under Streptococcus agalactiae 18RS21. RNAcentral describes it as "tRNA-Glu". It matches the Rfam family "tRNA". Rfam says of the family: Transfer RNA (tRNA) molecules are approximately 80 nucleotides in length. Their secondary structure includes four short double-helical elements and three loops (D, anti-codon, and T loops). Lineage: Bacteria; Bacillati; Bacillota; Bacilli; Lactobacillales; Streptococcaceae. The record is from RNAcentral.